This 439-nucleotide ribosomal RNA is filed under the name uncultured bacterium. RNAcentral describes it as "bacterial SSU rRNA". It matches the Rfam family "Bacterial small subunit ribosomal RNA", at positions 54 to 479 of the family's 1533-position model. The record is from RNAcentral.
CAUGCCAAGUCGAACGAGAAAGCCCUUCGGGGUGAGUACAGUGGCGAACGGGUGAGUAACACGUGGGCAAUCUGCCCCUCGCAGGGGGACAACCGGAGGAAACUCCGGCUAAUACCCCGUACGCUUGCGGAGUCGCAUGGCUCUGCAAGGAGAGGUAGCUUCGGCCAUCCGGCGAGGGAUGAGCCCGCGGUGCAUUAGCUAGUUGGUGGGGUAACGGCCCACCAAGGCGACGAUGCAUAGCUGGUCUGAGAGGAUGAUCAGCCACACUGGGACUGAGACACGGCCCAGACUCCUACGGGAGGCAGCAGUCGGGAAUCUUGCGCAAUGGGCGAAAGCCUGACGCAGCAACACCGUGUGAGCGAGGAAGGCCUUCGGGUCGUAAAGCUCUGUUGUUGGGGACGAAGGGCGAGGGGUUAAUAGCCCCGAGCUUGACGGUAAC